RNAcentral lists this long non-coding RNA (1067 nucleotides) under Apteryx rowi (Okarito brown kiwi). RNAcentral describes it as "lncRNA (ENSARWG00000008132.1)". The record is from RNAcentral. Lineage: Eukaryota; Metazoa; Chordata; Aves; Apterygiformes; Apterygidae.
AGCCCGCGCGCAGGGCCUGGCGGCUGCCCUCGCCCGCCCCCGGGCAGGGGCGCGUCCUCCUGCCUGCGGCCCCUCGCAGGCGCUUUCCGUACAGCUGCCCCGGGAACCGCGCUGAGCCAGGAAAAAGCAAAACAAAAAACCCAAAUCAGACCACCAGAUGCAGCAGAGGACACUCCCAGCAGAGCUCCAUGUGCAAAUCGGAUGUUCCACAUUAUUUGAACAACAUGAGGCAUCAAGUGUUAGGCAUUCUGAGAGUCAUUUGUUAUUGAAAGGCUUACACGGAUUGAGGGUACACAUCUACACCAGAACGAUGUUUUUUCUAAGUACUUAUGAGUUCCUCCAUCCUUGAAUUAAGGAAGAAUUCACACCCUUCUGAUGUUAAUUUCUAAAGAGUCAGAGUACUACAACCUGAGAUUUGUCUUGCUGAAAGACUGGAGAUCUGUACUUAAAAAAAGAACCAACUGUUGUUCUAAGACACAGCACCUGAGUUCAUAUUUGCUUAAGAAAAGUAACUUGUAUUAAAGGAAUUUCCAUAAGUUCCACAUAAUGUCUUUUUCUUAUAUUAUCCUUAUAAACCUUUAGAUAAGACAAAUGAAUAAUUUCUCCAGUAUAGAUCAAAAUUAAUCUAAGAGUUUUCCAAACCAAGAUAAAUACCACCAGAGAACAAGUUAUAGUAAAAAUGAUAAUGUCCUCAAGUCUCCAUCCCAUCAUUUUUUAAAAGCUUUACUUAAAAGACUGAUCUGGAAUUCCUACUCCAACGGUAAGAAGUGUACUUAUGCCCUCCUUAAAGAUAAAGAUGCUCAAGACAGGCUUCCGUUAAUCUCUGUAGCAACAAAUUUGUUAUCUUUUGAGAGGAAGAAUUAUGGUAGAAAAUUCUAACAGAAGAAAGUGAAGUAAGUGGGCAUGUUAUUAUCUGACUAGAAACAAAAGCGAGUGACAGAGGCAAGCAACAGGGGUUUGAUACACUGGAGAUCAUCCAGUGGCAAUAUAUUCAAGAUUUUAUUUUAUACUUCUCCUGUAAAUAAUAUAUAGAACAGUACAAUAAAGGAAAUGAGAGCUAAGAAACA